Small nuclear RNA from Suricata suricatta (meerkat), 108 nucleotides. The record is from Ensembl. Lineage: Eukaryota; Metazoa; Chordata; Mammalia; Carnivora; Herpestidae.
GCCCCUGUGCUUGCUUGGCCAGGGCUGAAAUUGGAACAAUGCGGAGAAGAUUAGCAUGCCCCCUGUGCAAGGACGACGCACAAACUCAUGGAGGUUCCUGUCGUUUCA